Molecule: ribosomal RNA, 394 nt
Filed under: uncultured bacterium
Lineage: Bacteria
Description: partial 16S ribosomal RNA
Rfam family: Bacterial small subunit ribosomal RNA
Source: RNAcentral
AUACGUAGGGGGCUAGCGUUAUCCGGAAUUACUGGGCGUAAAGGGUGCGUAGGUGGUUUCUUAAGUCAGAAGUGAAAGGCUACGGCUCGACCGUAGUAAGCUUUUGAAACUAAGAGACUUGAGUGCAGGAGAGGAGAGUAGAAUUCCUAGUGUAGCGGUGAACUGCGUAGAUAUUAGGAGGAAUACCAGUUGCGAAGGCGGCUCUCUGGACUGUAACUGACACUGAGGCACGAAAGCGUGGGGAGCAAACAGGAUUAGAUACCCUGGUAGUCCACGCCGUAAACGAUGAGUACUAGCUGUCGGGGGUUACCCCCCUCGGUGGCGCAGCUAACGCAUUAAGUACUCCGCCUGGGGCGUACGCCGGCAACGGUGAAACUCAAAUGAAUUGACGGGG